GUAGGAGGGUAAUAUCCUUCUGUGCCGAAGCUUACGCGUUAUACAUCCCGCCUGGGGAGUACGGCCGCAAGGUUUAAACUCAAACGAUUUGACGGGUCCCCGCUACAAGCAGCGGAGCGUGUGGUUUAAUUCGAUGCUACACGAAGAACCUUACCUGGGCUUGACAUGUAGGUAGUAGUGAAGCGAAAGCGGAACGACCCUUCGGGGAGCCUACACAGGUGCUGCAUGGCUGUCGUCAGCUCGUGCCGUGAGGUGUCGGGUUAAGUCCCGUAACGAGCGCAACCCCUGUCCUUAGUUAUACGUGUCUAAGGAGACUGCCCGGUACAACUGCGUAGUUAGGUGGGGUAUGACGUCUAGUUACUAUGGCCUUUAUCUUUAGGGCGAUACACACGCUACAAUGGCCGGUACAAUGGGUUGCUAAACCGUGAGGUGGUAGCCAAUCCUCCAAAGCCGGUCUAAGUUCGAAUUGUGGGCUGCAACUCGCCCUACAUGAAGCUGGAGUUGCUAGUAACCGCAGGUCACCUAUACUGCGGUGUAUACGUUCCCGGGGAUUGUACACACCGCUCGUCACGUCAUGG
RNAcentral lists this ribosomal RNA (578 nucleotides) under uncultured organism. RNAcentral's name for it is "bacterial SSU rRNA". It matches the Rfam family "Bacterial small subunit ribosomal RNA", at positions 822 to 1407 of the family's 1533-position model. The record is from RNAcentral.